RNAcentral lists this ribosomal RNA (253 nucleotides) under uncultured bacterium. Its description in RNAcentral is "partial 16S ribosomal RNA". It matches the Rfam family "Bacterial small subunit ribosomal RNA", at positions 524 to 776 of the family's 1533-position model. The record is from RNAcentral.
UACAGAGGGUGCAAGCGUUAAUCGGAAUCACUGGGCUUAAAGCGUUCGUAGGCGGGCUUGCAGGCGCGUUGUGAAAGCCCCCGGCUCAACCGGGGAACUGCUUCGCGAACCGCAAGUCUUGAGUCAAGUAGGGGCGGUCGGAACGAUAGGUGGAGAGGUGAAAUGCGUAGAUAUCUAUCGGAACGCCAAAGGUGAAGGCAGGCCGCUGGGCUUGUACUGACGCUGAGGAACGAAAGCGUGGGGAGCAAACGGG